Molecule: microRNA precursor, 84 nt
Filed under: Bombyx mori (domestic silkworm)
Lineage: Eukaryota; Metazoa; Arthropoda; Insecta; Lepidoptera; Bombycidae
Description: mir-2807 microRNA precursor family
Rfam family: mir-2807 microRNA precursor family
Source: Rfam by way of RNAcentral
UUAGUUCAAGUUUGUAUGGAGUUGGAACGUUUGUGUACGUUUGCCGCUAGGGGCGCUGUUCCAACUGCAUACAAAUUCGAGUUA